UUUAUUAUUUUAUAUCUAAAAUAUAAAUACCCAUGUUUCCUUAUUUCCUUGCAAACCCUAGAUCUGAUUCCUCACAUGACGCCACCUCUCUAACUCGCCAAUGCUCCAUCGAUCUGAUUCCUCCUCCAUCGAUCUGAAUCCUCACUUCACUCGUUCAAAUUUCAUCGAUCUAGUCUCCAUGACACCAUGGCUUCAUCGAUCUAGUUUUCAAUCGUUCAAACUUCACGAAUUUUGGUCCAUAGAUUCGGGUAUGACGACUACCCUCUUUACUCUUGUUUACACGAUUUGUUUACAUGAUAAUUGGCUAAUCGCUCCAUAGAAUCUGGUUGAGUUUACAUGUUGGAAGACGAUUUGUUUUUCGAUUUCUCCACAUGAUUUGUUACAUGCCACACAGUUACUGAGUUACAAGUUACAACCCACAUGCCACAACCUACAGGUUUUUGUUUACCUUGGAAGUUGGGAAGAAUCGAAGAUGGAUUGGAAUUUGGGUUAAUCUCAUUUGGAAGAUUAUAUCUUUAGUUUGGAACAAUGAAUUAUGUUUAUUAUUAUGUUCUAAUUUUGAAGCUACAAAUUGUGUUUA
Molecule: long non-coding RNA, 580 nt
Organism: Helianthus annuus (common sunflower)
Lineage: Eukaryota; Viridiplantae; Streptophyta; Magnoliopsida; Asterales; Asteraceae
Exons: 3
Source: RefSeq, a predicted model, not a curated record